CGUGCCUAAACAUGCAAGUCGAGCGAAUCGAUGGGAGCUUGCUCCCUGAGAUUAGCGGCGGACGGGUGAGUAACACGUGGGCAACCUGCCUAUAAGACUGGGAUAACUUCGGGAAACCGGAGCUAAUACCGGAUACGUUCUUUUCUCGCAUGAGAGAAGAUGGAAAGACGGUUUACGCUGUCACUUAUAGAUGGGCCCGCGGCGCAUUAGCUAGUUGGUGAGGUAAUGGCUCACCAAGGCGACGAUGCGUAGCCGACCUGAGAGGGUGAUCGGCCACACUGGGACUGAGACACGGCCCAGACUCCUACGGGAGGCAGCAGUAGGGAAUCUUCCGCAAUGGACGAAAGUCUGACGGAGCAACGCCGCGUGAACGAAGAAGGCCUUCGGGUCGUAAAGUUCUGUUGUUAGGGAAGAACAAGUACCAGAGUAACUGCUGGUACCUUGACGGGACCUAACCGGAAAGCCACGGAUAACAUACGUGCCAACAACCGCGGAAUAAUAUAGGUGGCAAGCGUUGCCCAGAA
Molecule: ribosomal RNA, 524 nt
Filed under: Bacillus sp. (in: firmicutes)
Lineage: Bacteria; Bacillati; Bacillota; Bacilli; Caryophanales; Bacillaceae
Description: bacterial SSU rRNA
Rfam family: Bacterial small subunit ribosomal RNA
Source: RNAcentral